CCACCUACUUUUGGUCCUAUUGACUCCUCAGUGGUGAUUACGGGCCAAUUAUCUAUUUUUCUUGAGCACUAGGCUCGUAUGAUGGCUGACAUUACCCUACUACAGUCCACCUCUAAGCGACUUAUUGCUAAUACCUUUGCUACUGUUCUCCACCUGCUUUUGGUCCUAUUGACCCCUCAGUAGUGAUUACGGGCCAAUUAUCUACUUUUCUUGAGCACUAGGCUCGUAUGAUGGCUAACAUUACCCUACUACAGUCCACCUCUGAGCGACUUAUUGCUAAUGUUGCUGCUCUGUAGAUUGAUGCAAAGUGGAUUCACCAACAUUAGAAUGACGAAGAUGAGGACAGUGAGACAUAUAGGAGUCCAUAUGAUAUUGUUGGGAUGUAUGGAUGUUGUAGUUGAAAUGUAUUUAAUUUUUUU
RNAcentral lists this long non-coding RNA (419 nucleotides) under Olea europaea subsp. europaea. Lineage: Eukaryota; Viridiplantae; Streptophyta; Magnoliopsida; Lamiales; Oleaceae. The record is from RNAcentral.